Molecule: ribosomal RNA, 253 nt
Filed under: uncultured bacterium
Lineage: Bacteria
Description: partial 16S ribosomal RNA
Rfam family: Bacterial small subunit ribosomal RNA
Source: RNAcentral
GACAGAGGGUGCAAACGUUGUUCGGAAUUACUGGGCGUAAAGCGCGUGUAGGCGGCUUGGCAAGUCGGGUGUGAAAGCCCCGGGCUCAACCUGGGAAGUGCACUCGAAACUGCUUGGCUUGAGUACUGGAGAGGGAAGCGGAAUUCCCGGUGUAGAGGUGAAAUUCGUAGAUAUCGGGAGGAACACCAGUGGCGAAGGCGGCGACCUGGGCCAAUAUUGACGCUGAGGUGCGAAAGCGUGGGGAGCAAACAGG